CUGCCCGCUCCCGCCGGAGACCGAGUUACUGCGUUUAGAGCUAUCUUGUCUCUGGGUGGGUUCGGAGAGU
RNAcentral lists this microRNA precursor (70 nucleotides) under Gallid alphaherpesvirus 1. RNAcentral's name for it is "microRNA iltv-mir-I3 precursor". Its record names the gene iltv-mir-I3. Lineage: Duplodnaviria; Heunggongvirae; Peploviricota; Herviviricetes; Herpesvirales; Orthoherpesviridae. The record is from miRBase by way of RNAcentral.